RNAcentral lists this ribosomal RNA (869 nucleotides) under Haematoloechus longicollum. Its description in RNAcentral is "partial 28S large subunit ribosomal RNA". It matches the Rfam family "Eukaryotic large subunit ribosomal RNA", at positions 108 to 629 of the family's 3401-position model. The record is from RNAcentral. Lineage: Eukaryota; Metazoa; Platyhelminthes; Trematoda; Plagiorchiida; Haematoloechidae.
CCCAGCACCGAAGCCUGUAGCCAUUUGGUUACUAGGCAAUGUGGUGUUUAGGUUGUUCCGUGGAUAUUCUGCUCCACCCUAAGUCCAUCAAUGAGUACGGUAUUAUGGACAUGGCCCAUAGAGGGUGAAAGGCCCGUGGGGGUGGAGAUUCGGCAGGACGGAAUAUCUUUGGAUAGACCUUGGAGUCGGGUUGUUUGUGAAUGCAGCCCAAAGUGGGUGGUAAACUCCAUCCAAGGCUAAAUACUUGCACGAGUCCGAUAGCGAACAAGUACCGUGAGGGAAAGUUGAAAAGUACUUUGAAGAGAGAGUAAACAGUGCGUGAAACCGCUCAGAGGUAAACGGGUGGAGUUGAACUGCAAGCUUUGGGAAUUCAACUGGUGAGUGUGGUUUUAGCUUGGUAAAUUUGGUGGACAUUGAGGUCUGCGUAGCAGCAGGUCUUCGCCUUCGGGUGGGGAUGCGCGAUGCACUUAUCAAGUGUUGUGCGCCUCGGUUGUCCUACCGGCCAACUCGCUAGUGCACUUUCUCAGAGUGUUCACCACGACCGGCGCCGCUGUCUGGCCGCUAUGGUUAAACCGGUUUCGCAUAGUCCUUGUGGCUUUGCUUAGUCGGGACGGCAGGUAGCUCGUUGACUUGCUUGUGGCUCGCUGCAAGUGUGGUUUUCGAGUUUAAUCAGCUGACCGUAGUGGUUCUGUGCAGUGUGUCGGAGACGGCGGCUUGAGGUGUGUGCAUGCGUAGUUGUUUUGCUGACUGGUUCGAGUUUGGUUAUUUUGUUGCCUGUGCAUACAGGUCUGGUAGUAGCUCGAAUUUGUUCGGCUGGCGAUUGCGUGUGUGGCACUUUACCAAGGGCCAAUAGUCUGUGGUGUAGUGGU